UGCAAGUCGAACGAUGAACUGGCGCUUGCGUUGGGGAUUAGUGGCGAACGGGUGAGUAACACGUGAGUAACCUGCCCUUAACUUCGGGAUAAGCCUUGGAAACGGGGUCUAAUACUGGAUAUUGACAUUUCAUCGCAUGGUGGUUUGUUGAAAGAUUUAUUGGUUUUGGAUGGACUCGCGGCCUAUCAGCUUGUUGGUGAGGUAAUGGCUCACCAAGGCGACGACGGGUAGCCGGCCUGAGAGGGUGACCGGCCACACUGGGACUGAGACACGGCCCAGACUCCUACGGGAGGCAGCAGUGGGGAAUAUUGCACAAUGGGCGCAAGCCUGAUGCAGCGACGCCGCGUGAGGGAUGACGGCCUUCGGGUUGUAAACCUCUUUCAGUAGGGAACAAGGCCAGCAUUUAAUGUUGGUUGAGGGUACUUGCAGAAGAAGCGCCGGCUAACUACGUGCCAGCAGCCGCGGUAAUACGUAGGGCGCAAGCGUUAUCCGGAAUUAUUGGGCGUAAAGAGCUCGUAGGCGGUUUGUCGCGUCUGCCGUGAAAGUCCGGGGCUCAACCCCGGAUCUGCGGUGGGUACGGGCAGACUAGAGUGAUGUAGGGGAGACUGGAAUUCCUGGUGUAGCGGUGAAAUGCGCAGAUAUCAGGAGGAACACCGAUGGCGAAGGCAGGUCUCUGGGCAUUAACUGACGCUGAGGAGCGAAAGCAUGGGGAGCGAACAGGAUUAGAUACCCUGGUAGUCCAUGCCGUAAACGUUGGGCACUAGGUGUGGGGGACAUUCCACGUUUUCCGCGCCGUAGCUAACGCAUUAAGUGCCCCGCCUGGGGAGUACGGCCGCAAGGCUAAAACUCAAAGGAAUUGACGGGGGCCCGCACAAGCGGCGGAGCAUGCGGAUUAAUUCGAUGCAACGCGAAGAACCUUACCAAGGCUUGACAUGAACUGGAAACGCUUGGAAACAAGUGCCCCGCUUGCGGUCGGUUUACAGGUGGUGCAUGGUUGUCGUCAGCUCGUGUCGUGAGAUGUUGGGUUAAGUCCCGCAACGAGCGCAACCCUCGUUCUAUGUUGCCAGCACGUGAUGGUGGGGACUCAUAGGAGACUGCCGGGGUCAACUCGGAGGAAGGUGAGGACGACGUCAAAUCAUCAUGCCCCUUAUGUCUUGGGCUUCACGCAUGCUACAAUGGCCGGUACAAUGGGUUGCGAUACUGUGAGGUGGAGCUAAUCCCAAAAAGCCGGUCUCAGUUCGGAUUGGGGUCUGCAACUCGACCCCAUGAAGUCGGAGUCGCUAG
This 1284-nucleotide ribosomal RNA is filed under the name Arthrobacter sp. SCS3-N2. RNAcentral describes it as "bacterial SSU rRNA". It matches the Rfam family "Bacterial small subunit ribosomal RNA", at positions 56 to 1338 of the family's 1533-position model. The record is from RNAcentral. Lineage: Bacteria; Bacillati; Actinomycetota; Actinomycetes; Micrococcales; Micrococcaceae.